GACGAACGCUGGCGGCGUGCCUAAUACAUGCAAGUAGAACGCACAGUUUAUACCGUAGCUUGCUACACCAUAGACUGCGAGUUGCGAACGGGUGAGUAACGCGUCGGUAACCUGCCUGGUAGCUGGGGAUAACUAUUGGAAACGCUAGCUAAUACCGCAUAAUAUUGAUUAUUGCAUGAUAAUUGAUUGAAAGAUGCUAUUGCAUCACUACCUGAUGGCCCUGCGUUGUAUUAGCUAGUAGGUGAGGUAACGGCUCACCUAGGCGACGAUACAUAGCCGAACGGAGAGGGUGAGCGGCCACACUGGGACUGAGACACGGCCCAGACUGCUACGGGAGGAAGCAGUAGGGAAUCGUCGGCAAUGGACGAAAGUCUGACCGAGAAACGCCGAGUGAGUGAAGAAGGUUUUCGGAUCGUAAAGCUCUGUUGUAAGAGAAGAACGGGUGUGAGAGUGGAAAGUUCACACUGUGACGGUAUCUGACCAGAAAGGGACGGCUAACUACGUG
This 505-nucleotide ribosomal RNA is filed under the name uncultured bacterium. RNAcentral describes it as "partial 16S ribosomal RNA". It matches the Rfam family "Bacterial small subunit ribosomal RNA", at positions 28 to 507 of the family's 1533-position model. The record is from RNAcentral.